AUUGAACGCUGGCGGAAUGCUUUACACAUGCAAGUCGAACGGCAGCACGGACUUCGGUCUGGUGGCGAGUGGCGGACGGGUGAGUAAUGUAUCGGAACGUGCCCAGUCGUGGGGGAUAACGUAGUGAAAAUUACGCUAAUACCGCAUACGAUCUAUGGAUGAAAGCGGGGGAUCGCAAGACCUUGCGCGAUUGGAGCGGCGGAUAUCAGAUUAGGUAGUUGGUGGGGUAAAGGCCCACCAAGCCAACGAUCUGUAGCUGGUCUGAGAGGACGACCAGCCACACUGGAACUGAGACACGGUCCAGACUCCUACGGGAGGCAGCAGUGGGGAAUUUUGGACAAUGGGCGAAAGCCUGAUCCAGCCAUUCCGCGUGCAGGAUGAAGGCCCUCGGGUUGUAAACUGCUUUUGUACAGAACGAAAAGGUUUCUACUAAUACUAGGAGCUCAUGACGGUACUGUAAGAAUAAGCACCGGCUAACUACGUGCCAGCCGCCGCAGUAA
Molecule: ribosomal RNA, 500 nt
Filed under: uncultured bacterium
Lineage: Bacteria
Description: partial 16S ribosomal RNA
Rfam family: Bacterial small subunit ribosomal RNA
Source: RNAcentral